AGCAGCCGCGGUAAUUCCAGCUCCAAUAGCGUAUAUUAAAGUUGUUGCAGUUAAAAAGCUCGUAGUUGAAUUUCGGGGUUAGUAGGUUGGUCAUGCCUCUGGUAUGUACUGGUCUCACUGAUUCCUCCUUCCUGAUGAACCUUAAUGCCAUUAAUUUGGUGUUUUGGGGAAUUUGGACUGUUACUUUGAAAAAAUUAGAGUGUUUAAAGCAAGCUAACGCUUGAAUACAUUAGCAUGGAAUAAUGAAAUAGGACGUUCGAUCCUAUUUUGUUGGCUUCUAGGAUUGACGUAAUGAUUAAUAGGGAUAGUUGGGGGCAUUAGUAUUCAAUUGUCAGAGGUGAAAUUCUUGGAUUUAUUGAAGACUAACUACUGCGAAAGCAUUUGCCAAGGAUGUUUUCAUUAAUCAAGAACGAAAGUUAGGGGAUCGAAGACGAUCAGAUACCGUCGUAGUCUUAACCAUAAACUAUGCCGACUAGGGAUCGGAUGAUGUUAAUUUUUAAUGACUCAUUCGGCGCCUUAA
RNAcentral lists this ribosomal RNA (520 nucleotides) under uncultured Glomus. Its description in RNAcentral is "SSU rRNA". It matches the Rfam family "Eukaryotic small subunit ribosomal RNA", at positions 569 to 1091 of the family's 1831-position model. The record is from RNAcentral. Lineage: Eukaryota; Fungi; Glomeromycota; Glomeromycetes; Glomerales; Glomeraceae.